This 253-nucleotide ribosomal RNA is filed under the name uncultured bacterium. Its description in RNAcentral is "partial 16S ribosomal RNA". It matches the Rfam family "Bacterial small subunit ribosomal RNA", at positions 524 to 776 of the family's 1533-position model. The record is from RNAcentral.
GACGAACCGAGCAAACGUUAUUCGGAAUCACUGGGCUUAAAGGGCGCGUAGGCGGGCCAUCAAGUCUGUGGUGAAAUCCUCCAGCUUAACUGGAGAACGGCCGCGGAUACUGGUGGUCUCGAGGAAGGUAGGGGCAUCUGGAACUGGUGGUGGAGCGGUGAAAUGCGUUGAUAUCAUCAGGAACUCCGGUGGCGAAGGCGAGAUGCUGGACCUUUUCUGACGCUGAGGCGCGAAAGCCAGGGGAGCGAAUGGG